RNAcentral lists this transfer RNA (61 nucleotides) under Streptosyllis sp. THS1. RNAcentral describes it as "tRNA-Ile". Lineage: Eukaryota; Metazoa; Annelida; Polychaeta; Phyllodocida; Syllidae. The record is from RNAcentral.
AAGCGCCGGAUGAACGGAUUUCAUUGAUAAUGAAAAAUAUAGUAUAACUCUUUAUUAAUUA